AGUUCAGGCUAGUGACCAUAAAAUUAGGUUAUGUGACAUAACAACUUUCGAAUGGUACAGUGUAAAGUUCUUGUAGUGUUAUUUUUAUGCCGAAGUAAGAUGUUUGAGUACUUUUAAAGUACUUAAUAAAAAAAAGUUUAGUACUCAAGUAUCUUUUGUUCAGAUGUGGCUGUAAAACAAAGAUAAUUGAUUUCAGUGUUCAGUUGCGUUUUUAAGUUUAGGUUGGUGGAAAUAAUUAUUUGAGGAAAUUUGUGGUGGAAUGGGUUAGACUUCAUUGGCCAAAUAAUAAGGUAAUGAAGCCCUGGCACAAGUAAAUGUAUCUUGGAGAAGAGCUGUAAUACUGUGCUUGGAAUAACAAAGUUCUGUCCAGCGUCUCGGUAUUUUUAUCCACUUCAUCCUUUCAUAACUGACCUUAUUAAUAAUGUAGCCUAACCUAUUAAGCAACUUCAUCACCUUGCUAUGAACCAUAUCAUAGCAAGUCUCUAAAACUGAGAUCUUUAACACCUAGUUUGUAACAUACACUUCUCAUACUCUUUUUCAGUUUAAAAGAAUUCAGAUUACUAAUGCAUUUUAGUGAUGUUGAAUUAGUCCACAAUUUUAACCUUACCAAAUUAAAACAUUGAAAAAUCAUGUGAGUAUUGCCCUCCACCCUCCCUUCACAAAGUGUUGCUUGGAGCUUCUUUCAACUGCACCCAAAAAAAGAAUUUUAGUAAAUGUGUUUCUUUUUUCAAACAUAUAGAAUGUUUAUUUCCAUCCUACUGCCUCUAAAGAGGCAUUUUAGAUGUUGAAUUAGUCCACAAUUUUAACCUUAGCAAAUUAAAACAUUGAAAAAUCAUGUGAGUAUUGCCCUCCACCCUCCCUUCACAAAGUGUUACUUGGAGCUUCCUUCAACUGCACCCAAAAAAAGAAUUUUAGUAAAUGUGUUUCUUUUUUCAAACAUAUAGAAUGUUUAUUUCCAUCCUACUGCCUCCAAAAGAGGCAUUUUAGAAAGUGUUCAGUAGUGACUUCUGUUAAAUGCUAUUUUAUACUUUUAUAAUUUGUGUGUGUGUGUUAACCUUGCUUUAAAUUUGAGCAGAAAUUCAUACAAAAUUGCCUAAGACGUCUGAGAAAAGAAAAUGAAGCUGCCGUGAUGAAAACCAAGUUGGUUUCAAAAAAGUUUAUUUAGACAUUACUUGGCUGUUAUACUUUCCUUUUAAAACUGCAAUAAUUUAUAUAUUUCUAUUGCUCUGCUUUGGAACUGUAAUUACAUAUGCUUGUCUAC
RNAcentral lists this long non-coding RNA (1261 nucleotides) under Bos taurus (domestic cattle). RNAcentral's name for it is "long non-coding RNA NONBTAT000131". The record is from RNAcentral. Lineage: Eukaryota; Metazoa; Chordata; Mammalia; Artiodactyla; Bovidae.